This is a long non-coding RNA of Culex pipiens pallens (northern house mosquito), 2302 nucleotides long. RefSeq lists it as uncharacterized. The transcript is spliced from 2 exons. The record is from RefSeq and is a predicted model, not a curated record. NCBI's taxonomy places the organism in Eukaryota, Metazoa, Arthropoda, Insecta, Diptera, Culicidae.
AACGAGCCUACCCCUGGAACCUUGACACAGGUUCCAGUGACACCACCGACGUCAUCUGCACCCGCUAUCUUCUUGCCAUCGUCAGCAGCAUCGACAUCAUCUGCACCCGCGAUCAUCUUACCACCAUCAGCAGUGGUUCCCACCAUCCCGGAGUUCCAGAGAAGGACGUGACUACUGCGUAAACAACAGACAGUGUACAUCGUCGUAAAUCAGCUUGUAGCAUUAAGUAAACUUUGAAUAAAAUCAGACUAGAAGUAGCAUCCGAGUAGUUCAGUUCGUCAUCCGAACUUCAUCUUAGUUUUUUUUAAAAUACCUUUAAUGUAACAACUAUCAUAAUUGGCGCAGUCGGUGCGUUCAUGAGUAAAGCAAUCCGUCGAUAAGUGGAUAUUAUCGAUUCGAGGAGAAAACCAUUGAUGUUCGACGGAUACUACGUCAGAGUGUAAUCUUCCGGUGCGCUUUACGAAUCAACGCGAUUACCAGCAAUCCAUCGAUAAACGGAUAUUAUCGAUUUGAGGGGAAGCCGAGCGUUAUCCUCCGGAAAGCACAGGAUGCGGUGGAUCUACUUGAUGACAAUCCUUUUCAUGAAAGUCCAUCUAAUUUCAUCGAAAUUCAUCCAAGUACACAAUUUGAACCCGGAAAAUGCAGCAUUAAUUUUGAGAUCUGGGCAAGGUAGGCUUUUAACCGGGUACAAUCGAUUAUUGCAUACAAUUGAUUUGAACCAAAUCGGCAAAACAAUUAAAACAUUAGAAGAAUUAAGGGUGCACAGCAACCAAGGAAGUUGUUGUCUUAUUAUUACAAAAUUGUCAAACUUACGGACCCAAUCCUGCAAGAAUCUGAUUGUAGAAAUAGUAAAACUUUGUUGUAAAUAACUACAAGGUCAGUACUUUAGGGGAUGAAUAAAAAAUUAUAUCGAUAGUUCCCGUAGUAUUGAAGAUACUAAAAUGUCUGUAACAGAAAUCUGGGUGCAAAAGCUAUGGUUGAUGUGUACCGUUAAUAGAAAAACUAAACGCAUCAGGAGACUUUUCAAAAAUAAUCAAUUAUAAAAUCAAUGUUUUGAGAAACACUUAUUUUACAUUACUACCAAAGCACCCGAGAACAAAAAGAUCAAUCGAAAUACUAGGAAGCACAAUAAAAUUCAUCACAGGAAAUUUAGACGCCCACGAUCUCCAAAUUAUUAAUAAAAACAUUGAGGCAAUUAAGGAAAACAAUAAUCAAUUGAUUAAAGAGGCUAAUAAUCAGAUUAUAAUCAAUCAAUCGUUUCAAAACUAUAUGAACAAUGUAACUGAAGAAAUAAAAAAAUAUGAAAAUCACAUAUUAAAACUAACCUUACACAAAAAUUUUGUCAUUACUGAAAAUGCUAAAAUUGCCAUGAUCUUCCAAAUUGAAAUGAUACUGAAUAUGUUACAAAUUAUAACAACACAAUACAAAUCAAAUAUUGUAUCUCACCAAUUGUUAACCACUAAGGAACUUAAUAUUAUAUUCGAGCAAUUAGAGGCUACAGGACUCAAACCACAAAACUUGGACGACACUUACAAUUUCAUCGGUGUCACUAGAUUUUACCACGAAAACCAUCUCAUAUUCAGCUUCGAUAUACCAAGAGUUUCGCCAAUAGUCUACGAAAUUACUAAGAUUGAACCCCUCCCAUCUGAAGGAAAAAUCAUUGACAUUGGAACAACUUCAACUUUUUUAGUAAGCAAUAAUGAAGUUCUAUCAAUAAACACCAAGUAUGAGCAAAAAACUCAUAUUUUUACGAGAACUUAGAACUUCAAUUCAACCAUCCCAACAUCUUACCAAUCAAAUCAACGCAAAUAGAGGAAAGACAUCUAGAAAAGCUAUUUAACAUGUCACACUUACACGACAGUCAAUUAGCCAAUCGUCAGCACCUAGAAUUUUUGAAACUCUACCAACAUUCAUCGUCAGGGGUCAUCUUUAUCAUAAUCCUUGGUAUCAUCGCAGCUAUCAGUUAUAGCAGAUGGAACGUGAUAACAGCCGUCGUGAAGAAACGCACGGGACGUGCUUCAUCUAGAGGGGGAGGAGUUAACAACGAGCCUACCCCUGGAACCUUGACACAGGUUCCAGUGACACCACCGACGUCAUCUGCACCCGCUAUCUUCUUGCCAUCGUCAGCAGCAUCGACAUCAUCUGCACCCGCGAUCAUCUUACCACCAUCAGCAGUGGUUCCCACCAUCCCGGAGUUCCAGAGAAGGACGUGACUACUGCGUAAACAACAGACAGUGUACAUCGUCGUAAAUCAGCUUGUAGCAUUAAGUAAACUUUGAAUAAAAUCAGACUAGAAGUAGCA